Molecule: long non-coding RNA, 1098 nt
Filed under: Cyanoderma ruficeps (rufous-capped babbler)
Lineage: Eukaryota; Metazoa; Chordata; Aves; Passeriformes; Timaliidae
Description: lncRNA (ENSCRFG00000014869.1)
Source: RNAcentral
GGCAGCUCCUCACAGGGAAAAAAAUAGGCACAUUUAGGGCAGAUUAAAGUUUUAAAUGCAGUAACUGCAUCACCAACAGCCCAUUCCUACCAACACCUGCUGACAGCAGGCACCUCCGAGGCCAGGACAAGUGCCAAGCACCAAGCACGUGGCUCUUCCCUGGGCAUCGCCCCCAAAAGGCACCGGUUGCGACACAGGUGCAGAUCCGGCAGCCCUGGGCACAUCCUGUCCCCUCCCAGCAGAGCUGCAGGAGCCAACAGUGUCUGUCUGUGCAGGGCUGUGCUCACUCUGUGCUCGGACAGCCAUGGACACAGUCAGGCUCGUGGUCAUCCUGGGCCUGGCAGUGUUGCUGCCCACAGAUGCUGUUCCCUGCGGAGCCCAGCGCCCGGACAGCUCCACGGCCUCCAAGCUGCUGGGGACGUGGCUGUACGUGGCAGGGGCUGCCCAGUUCCCCCAGCACCGCGUGGAGAUGCUGCUCAUCGACCACGCCUAUCUGCGCUUGGAUCCCGGUGCCAGCGGGCAGGAGCUGCUCAUCAGCCACUACGUGGCCGCGGGGGACCAAUGUUUUACCAACAACCUGACCUAUUUGGAAGUCAUUGCCGGUAACGCCUCGCUGGUGAAGCACGCCGAGACCCAGCAAACUGAGGGGAUGCUGAUGAACGUGAGCUCUGAAAACCUUCUACUCGUCCAGUACCAAAUGCAGAAGGACAGGACAUACUUGGGGCAGUAUCUCUAUGCCCGGAACCGGACAAUAAGCACAGCCGAGCGGGAGGAAUUUGAGCACCACGCCGAGUGCCUGGGGCUGAGGGCGGAGCAGAUCGUGUUUGCGCCCUGGAGAACGGAGGUGUGUAAAGCGAAAGAAGCUGAAGGCAGGAGCAGCCCACACCCAGAGCCCGUGGCUGCAGUCACAGCAUCACCUGCUCCAGGUACUCCCUGGCCUGGGAGUGCAGGGAACUGACCCACACAGGGCAAUAAACGUUUUCUUCAAAUCAGCAAAUCAGAUGCAAUUUGGUGCCAAAUUGUUUGAGAGCUGAGGGUUGUUAAGAGGUCAGAAGCAGGGUUUGCAAAAAAAAAAUAAAUUAAAAAAAAAAUUCACCU